RNAcentral lists this ribosomal RNA (497 nucleotides) under uncultured bacterium. Its description in RNAcentral is "partial 16S ribosomal RNA". It matches the Rfam family "Bacterial small subunit ribosomal RNA", at positions 28 to 507 of the family's 1533-position model. The record is from RNAcentral.
GGUGAACGCUGGCGGCGUGCCUAAUACAUGCAAGUCGAGCGAACAGAUGAGGAGCUUGCUCCUCUGACGUUAGCGGCGGACGGGUGAGUAACACGUGGAUAACCUACCUAUAAGACUGGGAUAACUUCGGGAAACCGGAGCUAAUACCGGAUAAUAUAUUGAACCGCAUGGGUCAAUAGUGAAAGACGGUUUUGCGGUCACUUAUAGAUGGAUCCGCGCCGCAUUAGCUAGUUGGUAAGGUAACGGCUUACCAAGGCAACGAUGCGUAGCCGACCUGAGAGGGUGAUCGGCCACACUGGAACUGAGACACGGUCCAGACUCCUACGGGAGGCAGCAGUAGGGAAUCGUCCGCAAAGGGCGAAAGCCUUACGGAGCAACGCCGCGUGAGUGAUGACGGUCUUCGGAUCGUAAAACUCUGUUAUUAGGGAAGAACAAAUGUGUAAGUAACUAUGCACGUCUUGACGGUACCUGAUCAGAAAGCCACGGCUAACUACGUG